CCUACGGGAGGCAGCAGUGAGGAAUAUUGGUCAAUGGCCGGAAGGCUGAACCAGCCAAGCCGCGUGAAGGACGAAGGUGCCAAGCAUUGUAAACUUCUUUUGUCAAGGGACAAAAUCAGGCUCGAGAGCCUGACCGAGGGUACUUGAAGAAAAAGCAUCGGCUAACUCCGUGCCAGCAGCCGCGGUAAUACGGAGGAUGCGAGCGUUAUCCGGAUUUAUUGGGUUUAAAGGGUGCGUAGGCGGACUGUUAAGUCAGCGGUAAAAGCCCGGGGCUCAACCCCGGCGAGCCGUUGAAACUGGUUGUCUUGAGAUGUCGAGAGGUAUGCGGAAUGCGCAGUGUAGCGGUGAAAGGCUUAGAUAUUGCGCAGAACUCCGAUUGCGAAGGCAGCAUACCGGCGGCGAUCUGACGCUGAGGCACGAAAGCGUGGGUAUCGAACAGGAUUAGAUACCCUGGUAGUC
Molecule: ribosomal RNA, 459 nt
Filed under: uncultured bacterium
Lineage: Bacteria
Description: partial 16S ribosomal RNA
Rfam family: Bacterial small subunit ribosomal RNA
Source: RNAcentral